UGGAUCGAUGAUGAGUACCAUGGGGUAUCUGAAACGGGAGUUGUGAUUAAACCCAUAUGGAACCCUGAGGUCCCA
This is a small nucleolar RNA of Catagonus wagneri (Chacoan peccary), 75 nucleotides long. Ensembl annotates it as small nucleolar RNA, C/D box 113-4. Its record names the gene SNORD113-4. The record is from Ensembl. NCBI's taxonomy places the organism in Eukaryota, Metazoa, Chordata, Mammalia, Artiodactyla, Tayassuidae.